This 76-nucleotide transfer RNA is filed under the name Sulfurovum sp. Its description in RNAcentral is "tRNA-Met". It matches the Rfam family "tRNA". Rfam says of the family: Transfer RNA (tRNA) molecules are approximately 80 nucleotides in length. Their secondary structure includes four short double-helical elements and three loops (D, anti-codon, and T loops). Lineage: Bacteria; Pseudomonadati; Campylobacterota; Epsilonproteobacteria; Campylobacterales; Sulfurovaceae. The record is from RNAcentral.
GGGCCUAUAGCACAACGGCCAGUGCAGGGGACUCAUAAUCCCUUGGUUGCAGGUUCGAAUCCUGCUGGGCCCACCA